Molecule: ribosomal RNA, 831 nt
Filed under: uncultured Gloeobacter sp.
Lineage: Bacteria; Bacillati; Cyanobacteriota; Cyanophyceae; Gloeobacterales; Gloeobacteraceae
Description: bacterial SSU rRNA
Rfam family: Bacterial small subunit ribosomal RNA
Source: RNAcentral
GAGAAUCUGACUUCGGUCAGAGGAAAGUGGCGGACGGGUGAGUAAUAUGUAGGAAAUCUGCCCUUUGGAGGGGGACAACAGUUGGAAACGACUGCUAAUACCCCAUAUGAGCUAUCUUGAAAUAGAUAUCUUGAAAACUCCGGUGCCAAAGGAUGAGCCUGCACCUGAUUAGCUUGUUGGUGGUGUAAUGGACUACCAAGGCGACGAUCAGUAGCUGGUUUGAGAGGAUGAUCAGCCACAAUGGGACUGAGACACGGCCCAUACUCCUACGGGAGGCAGCAGUAGGGAAUUUUGCGCAAUGGGCGAAAGCCUGACGCAGCAACGCCGCGUGUGUGACGAAGCCCUUCGGGGUGUAAAGCACUGUCAGUGGGGACGAAACUUGACGGUACCCACAGAGGAAGCACCGGCUAACUCCGUGCCAGCAGCCGCGGUAAUACGGAGGGUGCAAGCGUUGUCCGGAAUCAUUGGGCGUAAAGCGUUCGUAGGCGGCAUACCAAGUCUGGUGUUAAAGCCCGAGGCUCAACCUCGGUUCGGCACUGGAUACUGGUAAGCUAGAAUGCGGUAGAGGUGAGGGGAAUUCCUGGUGUAGCGGUGAAAUGCGUAGAUAUCAGGAGGAACAUCGGUGGCGAAAGCGCCUCACUGGGCCGUUAUUGACGCUGAGGAACGAAAGCCGGGGGAGCAAAUGGGAUUAGAUACCCCAGUAGUCCCGGCCGUAAACGAUGGAUACUAGGUGUUGUGGGUAUCGACCCCUACAGUGCCGUAGCUAACGCGAUAAGUAUCCCGCCUGGGGAGUACGCACGCAAGUGUGAAACUCAAAGGAAUUGACGGGGA